RNAcentral lists this ribosomal RNA (409 nucleotides) under Philinopsis sp. 2 CMG-2014. Its description in RNAcentral is "partial 16S ribosomal RNA". It matches the Rfam family "Archaeal large subunit ribosomal RNA", at positions 1920 to 2665 of the family's 2987-position model. Lineage: Eukaryota; Metazoa; Mollusca; Gastropoda; Cephalaspidea; Aglajidae. The record is from RNAcentral.
AGCCCUAAGAACUGAUUUAGGGUGAAACCUGCUCAAUGAAAAUUUUAAAUGGCCGCGGUACCUUGACCGUGCUAAGGUAGCAUAAUCAGUUGACUUUUAAAUGAAGUCUGGAAUGAAAGGAAUAACGGGAUUAAGCUUUAUUAAUCUUUUUCUUCUGAAUUUACUAAUUAGGUGAAAAGGCCUAAAAAUGAUAAAAGACGAGAAGACCCUUAGAGUUUUUCUUUAAGUUUUGUUGGGGCGACAUGGAAUCAUAUAACAUUCUUAAUAUUAUAAGACGGUUUUUACAUGAAUAAAUAAACUACCUGAGGGAUAACAGCAUAAUCUUUUUAGGUUUGUGACCUCGAUGUUGGACUAGGAAGCCUAUAGGCUAGCCGCCUAUAAGGGAGAUUCUGUUCGAAUUUUUACUCCU